RNAcentral lists this long non-coding RNA (187 nucleotides) under Mustela putorius furo (domestic ferret). RNAcentral describes it as "lncRNA (ENSMPUG00000024251.1)". Lineage: Eukaryota; Metazoa; Chordata; Mammalia; Carnivora; Mustelidae. The record is from RNAcentral.
AGAAAACAUGUCAGACAGAAGACAGAGCUUGCUUUGAUGGUUUGGGUCCCAAAGACAUGAUGAUGUUGGACUGAAGCACAGCCUACCAACGAAAGACAUGCAGAACAUGCACUAUUAUCUGGUGGAGAACAAACUAACCUGGGAUUAAAGAAGCUGAAAUCCAUUCUCAAUUUCUUCUCUCUUUUUG